Non-coding RNA from Scleropages formosus (Asian bonytongue), 72 nucleotides. NCBI's taxonomy places the organism in Eukaryota, Metazoa, Chordata, Actinopteri, Osteoglossiformes, Osteoglossidae. The record is from the annotation of a RefSeq genome assembly.
GGCUCGUUGGUCUAGGGGUACGAUUCUCGCUUCGGGUGCGAGAGGUCCUGGGUUCAAAUCCCGGACGAGCCC